UGCAUGUCUAAGUAUAAGCAAUUAUACAGCGAAACUGCGAAUGGCUCAUUAUAUAAGUUAUCGUUUAUUUGAUAAUACCUUACUACUUGGAUAACCGUGGUAAUUCUAGAGCUAAUACAUGCUAAAAAUCCCGACUUCGGAAGGGUUGUAUUUAUUAGAUUAAAAACCAAUGCCCUCUGGGCUCUCUGGUGAAUCAUGAUAACUAGUCGAAUCGACAGGCCUUGUGCCGGCGAUGGCUCAUUCAAAUUUCUUCCCUAUCAACUUUCGAUGUUUGGGUAUUGGCCAAACAUGGUGGCAACGGGUAACGGAGGGUUAGGGCUCGACCCCGGAGAAGGAGCCUGAGAAACGGCUACUACAUCCAAGGAAGGCAGCAGGCGCGCAAAUUACCCAAUCCCGACACGGGGAGGUAGUGACAAUAAAUACUGAUACAGGGCUCUUUUGGGUCUUGUAAUCGGAAUGAGUACAAUUUAAAUCCCUUAACGAGGAACAAUUGGAGGGCAAGUCUGGUGCCAGCAGCCGCGGUAAUUCCAGCUCCAAUAGCGUAUAUUAAAGUUGUUGUGGUUAAAAAGCUCGUAGUUGAACCUUGGGCCUGGCUGGCCGGUCCGCCUCACCGCGUGUACUGGUCCGGCCGGGCCUUUCCCUCUGUGGAACCCCAUGCCCUUCACUGGGUGUGGCGGGGAAACAGGACUUUUACUUUGAAAAAAUUAGAGUGCUCAAGGCAGGCCUAUGCUCGAAUACAUUAGCAUGGAAUAAUAAAAUAGGACGUGCGGUUCUAUUUUGUUGGUUUCUAGGACCGCCGUAAUGAUUAAUAGGGACAGUCGGGGGCAUCAGUAUUCAAUUGUCAGAGGUGAAAUUCUUGGAUUUAUUGAAGACUAACUACUGCGAAAGCAUUUGCCAAGGAUGUUUUCAUUAAUCAGGAACGAAAGUUAGGGGAUCGAAGACGAUCAGAUACCGUCGUAGUCUUAACCAUAAACUAUGCCGACUAGGGAUCGGACGAUGUUACAUUUUUGACGCGUUCGGCACCUUACGAGAAAUCAAAGUGCUUGGGCUCCAGGGGGAGUAUGGUCGCAAGGCUGAAACUUAAAGAAAUGACGGAA
RNAcentral lists this ribosomal RNA (1097 nucleotides) under Hypomyces aurantius. RNAcentral describes it as "SSU rRNA". It matches the Rfam family "Eukaryotic small subunit ribosomal RNA", at positions 52 to 1161 of the family's 1831-position model. The record is from RNAcentral. Lineage: Eukaryota; Fungi; Ascomycota; Sordariomycetes; Hypocreales; Hypocreaceae.